GAUGAACGCUGGCGGCGUGCCUAAUACAUGCAAGUCGAGCGAACAGACGAGGAGCUUGCUCCUCUGACGUUAGCGGCGGACGGGUGAGUAACACGUGGAUAACCUACCUAUAAGACUGGGAUAACUUCGGGAAACCGGAGCUAAUACCGGAUAAUAUAUUAAACCGCAUGGUUCAAUAGUGAAAGACGGUUUUGCUGUCACUUAUAGAUGGAUCCGCGCCGCAUUAGCUAGUUGGUAAGGUAACGGCUUACCAAGGCGACGAUGCGUAGCCGACCUGAGAGGGUGAUCGGCCACACUGGAACUGAGACACGGUCCAGACUCCUACGGGAGGCAGCAGUAGGGAAUCUUCCGCAAUGGGCGAAAGCCUGACGGAGCAACGCCGCGUGAGUGAUGAAGGUCUUCGGAUCGUAAAACUCUGUUAUUAGGGAAGAACAAAUGUGUAAGUAACUAUGCACGUCUUGACGGUACCUAAUCAGAAAGCCACGGCUAACUACGUG
RNAcentral lists this ribosomal RNA (497 nucleotides) under uncultured bacterium. RNAcentral describes it as "partial 16S ribosomal RNA". It matches the Rfam family "Bacterial small subunit ribosomal RNA", at positions 28 to 507 of the family's 1533-position model. The record is from RNAcentral.